Molecule: transfer RNA, 76 nt
Filed under: Rhodospirillales bacterium
Lineage: Bacteria; Pseudomonadati; Pseudomonadota; Alphaproteobacteria; Rhodospirillales
Description: tRNA-Thr
Rfam family: tRNA
About the family: Transfer RNA (tRNA) molecules are approximately 80 nucleotides in length. Their secondary structure includes four short double-helical elements and three loops (D, anti-codon, and T loops). Further hydrogen bonds mediate the characteristic L-shaped molecular structure. tRNAs have two regions of fundamental functional importance: the anti-codon, which is responsible for specific mRNA codon recognition, and the 3' end, to which the tRNAs corresponding amino acid is attached (by aminoacyl-tRNA synthetases). tRNAs cope with the degeneracy of the genetic code in two manners: having more than one tRNA (with a specific anti-codon) for a particular amino acid; and 'wobble' base-pairing, i.e. permitting non-standard base-pairing at the 3rd anti-codon position.
Source: RNAcentral
GCCGACUUAGCUCAGUUGGUAGAGCGGCUGAUUUGUAAUCAGCAGGUCGCGGGUUCAACUCCUGCAGUCGGCACCA